UCCUUGCUGGAUUGUGUUGGAAAUUAUUUUCCACACAAAGAAGGCUUUACGCAGGAAUGCGCCAGCAAGUUGCUCCGUUUCAUUUUUGUGCCAGCUAACGCGGUAAGACAAAAGGAGCUUUCUCAUUUUCGGAGAAAAAUUAAAAAGCUAAUUUCUGGAUUCUUAAAAGAAAACCGAGUAGUCUACGGUGUACCGGGAAAAGAYGACUCAGCCUCUAGUGAUAAAUAAACUUCCUAGCCUUUGGGUAAGCCUAUUCCAGGUCCUUGGUUUACCGAUUGACCGUUAAACCUCACUUCCUUAUUAUGAGGUUGCAUGGCCCACUUGCAUUACGAGUAUAUCGUUCUGGUGUGGUGACAUGGCCUCAAGGAAGUUACGACCACGGGUUGAAAAAUAGGAUGAAAUCCUUAUUUUUUAAGACUGGUCAGUAAUCGUGGUUUUUAACGGACCACGGUGAAACAAAGGUCCAAAGGACUUCUAGCUCGUCACCUGGGGUGGUUCCGCCACUCUGGCAAGUCGAAACACGGUAGAAGUUGGGGA
This 537-nucleotide ribosomal RNA is filed under the name Kudoa prunusi. Its description in RNAcentral is "partial small subunit ribosomal RNA". The record is from RNAcentral. Lineage: Eukaryota; Metazoa; Cnidaria; Myxozoa; Multivalvulida; Kudoidae.